Molecule: long non-coding RNA, 4422 nt
Organism: Sarcophilus harrisii (Tasmanian devil)
Lineage: Eukaryota; Metazoa; Chordata; Mammalia; Dasyuromorphia; Dasyuridae
Source: Ensembl
GUCCGAUGAUGAGCCCAUGGAAGAGGAGCCUCCCCUGUAGCAGCCAGCUCAGACCUGCUGGUCUCUCGUUUGUGCGUCUCUUGUCUUGAAGCUCUGCCAAGAAAAUUCCUCCUGUUGCUCCUGCGUCCUGUCAGGGUGUUCUCCCAGAAUACAAAGGGACGGCCAGGUGUGACGCAACCACAGGACUGGUCUUUCUGGAUACGGAAAACGAGUCUUCUGCAUCUACAGAUAUCUCGAUAGACAUAUAGAAAUAUAUCUACGUCCAUAGAUAUAUAGACGGGCGCGCCCACACCCCCCACCCGCAGACAUCAACGACCCCUCCGCCUCGACGUGGCCCGCCGGUGAGCGCGACGCACGUGAGACACGUGGAGCCGGGGGCUCUUUCUCCGCUCCAAAGUGGGAACCCGUGAGGAGGAAGCAGCCAGUGGCGGCUUUGGGUCGACGGCCACGUUGUGUGGAGACAGACGGCGGUAGCCGCCGAGGAGACCCACGUUUUAAAGCUCUAAUACUACAGAAAACAAACUUCAUUAAAACUGGUGCUUAAGGUUUGAUUACCCACAAUUCCACAGUCUCCGUUGAAACCACUCGACUCAUCGUGUAGCUCGUUUGUUUGUUUUUUUAGAAAAAGAAAAGGAGAAAAAAGAAAAGGGGGGAAAAGGGUUUUUAUGACUCCGGCCUGCCCGGGAGUCCGAAAUCUAAUCUACAAACCCCCAUGAUGCGCGAGGGCGGGUUUUUUUUAUCGGGAGGGUGGGGGGCUGAGGAGACUAAUCCCUCUCUCUUUUUUAAUAGAACAAAAAACAGGAAAAAAAAAAAUCACGAGCGCCCCCCCCCCCCCCCCCCCGGGAGGAGUCGGCUUUAGCUUUUCAAAGCCGCCUGAAGAUGAGAGUUUGUGCCUUUUUUUCAAUUGAUCCGAUGGAUUUGGUGUGGCGGAUUUUUCAGAAGUUUGAAGGACAAUGCCUUAAGUUGAAAAGAAAAGAAAAAGCAGGACUCUGCGGAGCGACUUCCUCUGGCUGACAGAGCCAAGACCUGCCAGCGAGCCCAGAGCGAGCAAGAGAGAGCGAGGGAGCGAGCGAGCGGCCCGUGCUCACGUGAGGACUGAAGGCAGCCGGCCUCCCUGCCUGCGGUGCCUCCGGAAUUCUCUCCUGAGUUGGGGGGAAAGGGGGGGCGGUCGGUUCGGUUCAGUUCGGUUCGGUCCCGUUGGAUUUUUGUUUGUUUUUUUGUGGUUCUAUUUCAUUUCAUUGCUGUUUAAGACAAAUUAAGGGAGUUGCCCCCGAAGUGGCAAAUACGGUUGGGUGUUUUGAAGUCUGACAGAUUGAGAAGGAUCCGAGGCGUUUUCUUUCCGGCAUCGAUCACAGAACGGUCGAACACAGCAAUUUGGUCGUCGACGCAUGUAAUAGAUACACUUGCAGUUUUCAGAUUGGGAUGCUUUUCCCCGAGAGCAGACUAGCAUGAGGUAUUGCUUCAAUUGUAGGUAUAAAUAGAUAUAUAUAUAUAGAUAUAUAUAUAAUGUAUGUAUAAUGUAUAUUCCAAAUGUACUCCAAGCUUAGAAACUUGAUUCUUAUGAAAUCUUGAUAAAAAUAUUUAUAAUGCAUUUAUAGAAGAAAUAAAAAGGUAAAUAUAAUAAAUGCAGAUUGUAAAAGUCACCUUUUCAAGGUUCCCUAGCGAAUGGUUUUCCUUGUGAAUUGGACCAGACCGGUGCUGAGGGAAAGGGAAAGUUAGAAAGGCUUCAGACCGCCAACACAUUCGCCACUGGGCAACGACCUUCGAUGUUUGCAUUUUAAUUUCAGGUUCUGUUUGUUAUGUUGGGUUUCUUUUGUAACAGGACCUCUGUCCCCCCUCCCCCUCUUCGCACACAUACACAGAGUUUUGGGGAUUUUUUUUGGGGGGGAGGUUUGGUAGCGAGAACUAGAAAAACUUGUUGAUUUUUGUAUCGAUAUUUUUCAAUCCCGAAGAAACCUCGUUUGUGUGGAUUUGAACUUGUUUUCCACUGGGCAGUUUUCUGACUUGUUAUGAUGUCAAAAGGUCUUUCUUGCCUCGGUCCUUGCUUAUACAGUUUUUAACCUUUAAAGGUCUUUUUUAUUAUUAUUAUUAUAAUUAUUAUUAUUUGGGGGAUUGUUUUGUUGUUUUGUACAGUCAGCAUCUUUCCUCCGGGCUGAGGAGACAUUACAAUUUAGAGUCUGUUUUCAGAAACGGAGCGUUUAACGAAAAGAGAGCUCCUCGGCUCUCGCUCGUGGAACGAUAGAGCCGAGGUCUCUUUCCUGAGUUUUGUUCUGGCAAAGACGGAGCGGAGCUGGGGUGUUUUUGACCUUCCAUCCAGGGGGCCCCCCUCCGCUCCAGUCGGCACGCCGAGCUCCGCCGGGGAAGACUUGUCUGCCUUGACAAAAAUAAUUUCCAAAAUUCUUCCCCGAGACACUGUUGCUCAGAUAGAAUUGUAACUUUUGUUCUCCAAAGACCUUAGGGGAAAAAUGCUUUUGAGAAUGUGGAACGGGGCGAGGAGUGUUGUUUUUCAAUUUUUUUUCUUUCUGCCAUCUGGUUUAGACCUUCACUCUGAAGCACCAGAUGCUUAUUACUGGAGCAUGGGGCUGCAGGAGGCCGAUUGACACAUGUAUUCCCCCCCCCCCCAAAGUAUAUAGAAUAGUACAGUUCACUCCUCUGGACAACCCCUGUUUUCUCUCUCUCUCUCUCUCUCUCUCUCUCUCUCUCUCUCUCUCUCUCUCUCUGUUUCUAUGUGUGUGUGUCUCUCUCUCUCUCUCUCUCUCUUUAUUUUUUUUUUUUUUUUUGGUGACAUUUGAAGUCACCACUUUCAUUCCAAAAUUGAUUUAAUUCAGACUUGUGGAAAGAAUUUGAAGCUGUUGGGGGGGGGGUUGGCCCCCUCUCCAGAGAAGGGGCAGCCAAGGAAUUUUCUAAGCUUGAGUCUAGUUUACAGUUCAGCUUUUCUGAUCAGCACCAAGAGCGGGGAGGAUUUCUUCAUUUAUCCUUGAGCCUUAGAUCUGCAUGCAGCCGACUGAGAAGGGCAGCCUUGGGUGCAGAAAGAAAGAUCCCCCUUUGACCCAAACUUUUCCAAGCUGUCACCUGGAGCACAGCAUUCGGUGUCAGCAGCAGGGGGGAUGUUUUUGGGGCUCCCUCUUCACUGCAAGCAGUUAUCGGAGACAAAAGAGUCGUUUGUCGUUUUUACAAGAUGCUGGGGAUAAUCGGGACCUUUCUGCGGCCCCGUUAUCAUUUUUGGACUUUGUGCUAUUUACUGCAUGUUGCAAAGCCCCAUCGAGUGAAAUCCCUUUUGCUUUGUCAGCCUCCUCCGGCCCCCCGCCAUCCGUUUAAAAAAAUCGAUGUUUCUCUUUGGUUUUUGUCUUUGGGUGGGGCUGGCCCACGCUCGGCCUUUCCGUUGUGGCUCCGUGGGGCUCCCCUUCUCCCGGGCCGACCACCACUCUCGCUGCCCCGUGGAUGGAGCUUCGUUUUAGCUCUCCAUUCUCAUGCUGACCCCACGAGGGGAUCCUUUCCACACCCCGUUUUUCACUUGCACCUUUGCCGAGGCUACUGGGGCAUUUUUCAAAUGUUGGUCCACAGGGUCGGUGAGUGAGCACUUUACUGGCUCCCAGGGAGAGGGAUGGGGGUUGCCGGCCCUCCUGGAGCAGCUUGGGUGGCUCCGAGCCACUCUCCCCAUCUGCCCUUUUCAUUAUCCCCGCCUCCCCCGGAGCCCAAGCAUCUUUGACCCUCCAGGAUGUGCCUGAGCUCCACCAGCAGGAGCGCCGAGGCUGCUCCCCUGGCCUGCAGAACCCGGCGGGCAGGGCUGUGCCCCGCUCCCCCCACGUUGGUGUUCGUGGGCCCUGGUUGGAUAGGGCCCCUCCUCGAAGCGGUUUUGUUUCUCCCGUUGCUUCCCUUUUCUCCCUCGAUCUGUCCGGAGAAGAAGGAUGGUGGGUUCUUUCUUUCGGCGGUCUUAGACCCAGAAUCUGCAAGGGGCAGGUAUGAGGGCCUCCAGAGCCUCUUUUUUGGGAGGGGUCGGAGGGGGAGCUUCUUUUUCAGCUUUGUUUUUAUUUUCGAUAUAGAACAUUCCUUUGUAUUCGUCACAGUCAUGUAUUCAUUCCAUUCCGCUUUUUGUAAACUUUGGGGCCCAUGUGUUUUACGGGCAUUGAUAUAUAUAUAAAUAUAUAUAAAUAUAUAUGAAUAUAUUUUUUUAAGUUUCCUACACCUUGAGGUUGCAUGGUCUGUAAGGUCGGCAUGUCUUUCUAUUGUAUACAGAUUUUGCACGCCAAACUUGGCAGCUUUGGGGGGGAAAAAACAAAAACACGAAAAACAAAAAAAACCGGUUUUUUCCCCCCUCUCGUGGCAUUUGCAGAUUUUUUAAAAGGUGGGACAUUUUCUGUAAAGCAAAACACGGAAGGAAAGUGGGGAGGGGGGACGUUUGCGUCUUACUGAACUUAUUCU